This 253-nucleotide ribosomal RNA is filed under the name uncultured bacterium. Its description in RNAcentral is "partial 16S ribosomal RNA". It matches the Rfam family "Bacterial small subunit ribosomal RNA", at positions 524 to 776 of the family's 1533-position model. The record is from RNAcentral.
UACGUAGGGGGCAAGCGUUGUCCGGAAUCAUUGGGCGUAAAGAGCGCGUAGGCGGCCCGAUAAGUCCGCUGUGAAAGUCAAGGGCUUAACCCUUGAAUGCCGGUGGAAACUGUCGGGCUAGAGUCCGGAAGAGGCGAGUGGAAUUCCUGGUGUAGCGGUGAAAUGCGCAGAUAUCAGGAGGAACACCGAUGGCGAAGGCAGCUCGCUGGGACGUGACUGACGCUGAGACGCGAAAGCGUGGGGAGCAAACAGG